RNAcentral lists this ribosomal RNA (425 nucleotides) under uncultured bacterium. RNAcentral's name for it is "bacterial SSU rRNA". It matches the Rfam family "Bacterial small subunit ribosomal RNA", at positions 356 to 773 of the family's 1533-position model. The record is from RNAcentral.
GGGGAAUAUUGGACAAUGGGCGCAAGCCUGAUCCAGCCAUGCCGCGUGUGUGAAGAAGGCCUUCGGGUUGUAAAGCACUUUCAGCGAGGAGGAAGGGUUGUGUGUUAAUAGUACACAGCCUUGACGUUACUCGCAGAAGAAGCACCGGCUAACUCUGUGCCAGCAGCCGCGGUAAUACAGAGGGUGCAAGCGUUAAUCGGAAUUACUGGGCGUAAAGCGCACGUAGGCGGUUUUUUAAGUCAGAUGUGAAAGCCCCGGGCUCAACCUGGGAAUUGCAUUUGAAACUGGAAAACUAGAGUGUGUGAGAGGGGGGUAGAAUUCCAAGUGUAGCGGUGAAAUGCGUAGAGAUUUGGAGGAAUACCAGUGGCGAAGGCGGCCCCCUGGCACAACACUGACGCUCAGGUGCGAAAGCGUGGGGAGCAAAC